This 150-nucleotide small nuclear RNA is filed under the name Neotoma lepida (desert woodrat). Its description in RNAcentral is "U12 minor spliceosomal RNA". It matches the Rfam family "U12 minor spliceosomal RNA". From Rfam's summary of the family: Although the U12 sequence is very divergent from that of U2, the two are functionally analogous. Lineage: Eukaryota; Metazoa; Chordata; Mammalia; Rodentia; Cricetidae. The record is from Rfam by way of RNAcentral.
GUUCCUUUUCUUAUGAGUAAGGAAAAUAAUGAUUCGGAGUGAUGCCCGAGUCCUCACUGCUAAUGUGAGAAGAAUUUUUGAGCGGGUAAAGGUUGUCUCCUAAGGCAACCCGCCUACUUUGCGGGAUGCCUGGGUACAGUAGCCUGACCG